GACGAACGCUGGCGGCGUGCUUAACACAUGCAAGUCGAACGGAAAGGCCCUGCUUUUGUGGGGUGCUCGAGUGGCGAACGGGUGAGUAACACGUGAGUAACCUGCCCUUGACUUUGGGAUAACUUCAGGAAACUGGGGCUAAUACCGGAUAGGAGCUCCUGCUGCAUGGUGGGGGUUGGAAAGUUUCGGCGGUUGGGGAUGGACUCGCGGCUUAUCAGCUUGUUGGUGGGGUAGUGGCUUACCAAGGCUUUGACGGGUAGCCGGCCUGAGAGGGUGACCGGCCACAUUGGGACUGAGAUACGGCCCAGACUCCUACGGGAGGCAGCAGUGGGGAAUAUUGCACAAUGGGCGGAAGCCUGAUGCAGCAACGCCGGGUGCGGGAUGACGGCCUUCGGGGUGUAAACCGCUUUCGCCUGUGACGAAGCGUGAGUGACGGUAAUGGGUAAAGAAGCACCGGCUAACUACGUG
This 468-nucleotide ribosomal RNA is filed under the name uncultured bacterium. RNAcentral describes it as "partial 16S ribosomal RNA". It matches the Rfam family "Bacterial small subunit ribosomal RNA", at positions 28 to 507 of the family's 1533-position model. The record is from RNAcentral.